Long non-coding RNA from Polypterus senegalus (gray bichir), 476 nucleotides. RefSeq lists it as uncharacterized. The transcript is spliced from 3 exons. The record is from RefSeq and is a predicted model, not a curated record. Lineage: Eukaryota; Metazoa; Chordata; Cladistia; Polypteriformes; Polypteridae.
AUCAAACUAAGCACAUUCGCCACCACUAUAAAUACUGAAGUGCUAAUACAUUACAACGAUGAGUUAUGUAUGAUAUGUCAUUCAGAAAUCCCUCAGCCUCCUUUCGUAAAGUAUAAGACGGAUGGCUCGAAGGCAGCCCGAACGGCUUUGCUUAAACAACCACGAGGAUGCUACUGAACAGAAUUGUGAACGCGCGAGUAAAAGGUGGGACCUCAACAGGCAGGGCAACCCUGACAUCAGCCCAUAAAUUGUAAGGCUGAGGAGAGAAUCCUUCAGUGGUUCAUUGAUUAUCAUUUGGAGAGUGCAUUUUUUUGUGACAGACUGCCAUGGCCAUUACCCAGCCAAGACACUAGCUGGAUGGGAGAACCUGGGGAGAGAGUAUCUAGAAAACACUACCUCCCCUGGGUUGCUAGAGGAUAGCCUUCCUGGGUGGCUGUGGCACCAUGGAUUCCCGCAGGGCAAACUGGGAAUUGGAG